RNAcentral lists this ribosomal RNA (370 nucleotides) under uncultured eukaryote. Its description in RNAcentral is "partial 18S ribosomal RNA". It matches the Rfam family "Eukaryotic small subunit ribosomal RNA", at positions 592 to 976 of the family's 1831-position model. The record is from RNAcentral.
CAAUAGCGUAUAUUAAAGUUGUUGCAGUUAAAAAGCUCGUAGUUGGAUUUCUGGUCGGAAGCUCCUGUCCUCUGAUGAGCGUACAAGUGCGUCCUACCAUCCUUCUGUUAACCUUUAAGGCUUUCGCGGCUUUCUAGGGGCUCAGAUAUUUUACCUUGAGAAAAUUAGAGUGUUUCAGGCAGGCUAGCGCCGGAAUACAUUAGCAUGGAAUAAUGGAAUAGGACUUUUGUCUCUUCUGUUGGUCAUGAGGCUCGAGUAAUGAUUAAUAGGGAUAGUUGGGGGCAUUAGUACUUAACUGUCAGAGGUGAAAUUCUCGGAUUUGUUAAAGACUAACUUAUGCGAAAGCAUUUGCCAAGGAUGUUUUCAUUAA